Molecule: ribosomal RNA, 1478 nt
Filed under: uncultured bacterium
Lineage: Bacteria
Description: bacterial SSU rRNA
Rfam family: Bacterial small subunit ribosomal RNA
Source: RNAcentral
AGAGUUUGAUCCUGGCUCAGAACGUACGCUGGCGGCACGCCUAACACAUGCAAGUCGAACGCAGUAGCAAUACUGAGUGGCGAACGGGUGAGUAUAAUGUAGGUAUCUGCCUUUUGGUUUGGAAUAACACGAGGAAACUUGUGCUAAUACCGGAUAAGCCUUCACAGGGAAAGUUUUAUACGCCAAAAGAUGAGCCUGCACUUGAUUAGCUAGUUGGUAAGGUAAUAGCUUACCAAGGCUACGAUCAAUAGCUGAUCUGAGAGGAUGAUCAGCCACAUUGGGACUGAGACACGGCCCAAACUCCUACGGGAGGCAGCAGUGGGGAAUCUUGCACAAUGGGGGAAACCCUGAUGCAGCGAUGCCGCGUGAGUGAAGAAGGCCCUUGGGUUGUAAAGCUCUUUCGUCGGGGAAGAAAAUGACUGUACCCGAAUAAGAAGGUCCGGCUAACUUCGUGCCAGCAGCCGCGGUAAUACGAAGGGACCUAGCGUAGUUCGGAAUUACUGGGCUUAAAGAGUACGUAGGUGGUUAAAAAAGUUGGUGGUGAAAUCCCAGAGCUCAACUCUGGAACUGCCAUCAAAACUUUUUAACUAGAGUAUGAUAGAGGUAAGCGGAAUUUCUAGUGUAGAGGUGAAAUUCGUAGAUAUUAGAAAGAACACCGAAUGCGAAGGCAGCUUUCUGGAUCAUUACUGACACUGAGGUACGAAAGCAUGGGUAGCGAAGAGGAUUAGAUACCCUCGUAGUCCAUGCCGUAAACGAUGUGUGCUAGACGUUGGGAAUUUAUUUUUCAGUGUCGCAGCAAAAGCGUUAAGCACACCGCCUGGGGAGUACGACCGCAAGGUUAAAACUCAAAUGAAUUGACGGGGACCCGCACAAGUAGUGGAGCAUGUGGUUUAAUUCGAAGAUACGCGCAGAACCUUACCAACACUUGACAUGUUCGUCGCGACUCUAAGAGAUUAGAGUUUUCGGUUCGGCCGGACGAAACACAGGUGCUGCAUGGCUGUCGUCAGCUCGUGUCGUGAGAUGUUGGGUUAAGUCCCGCAACGAGCGCAACCCUCAUUUUUAGUUGCCAUCAUUAAGUUGGGCACUCUAAAAAAACUGCCAGUGAUAAGCUGGAGGAAGGUGGGGAUGACGUCAAGUCCUCAUGGCCCUUACGUGUUGGGCUACACACGUGCUACAAUGGUACUUACAAUGAGAUGCUAAGACGCGAGUCCAAGCAAAACUCAAAAAGGUACCUCAGUUCGGAUUGCACUCUGCAACUCGAGUGCAUGAAGCUGGAAUUACUAGUAAUCGCGGAUCAGCGCGCCGCGGUGAAUACGUUCCCGGGUCUUGUACACACCGCCCGUCACACCAUGGAAGUUGGUUUCACCUUAAGGCAAAAUGUUAACCCUCGGGAAACAUUUGACUACGGUACGAUCAGCGACUGGGGUGAAGUCGUAACAAGGUAGCCGUAGGGGAACCUGCGGCUGGAUCACCUCCUU